GCUCCCGGAUGUUAGCGGCGGACGGGUGAGUAACACGUGGGUAACCUGCCUGUAAGACUGGGAUAACUCCGGGAAACCGGAGCUAAUACCGGAUAGUUCCUUGAACCGCAUGGUUCAAGGAUGAAAGACGGUUUCGGCUGUCACUUACAGAUGGACCCGCGGCGCAUUAGCUAGUUGGUGGGGUAAUGGCUCACCAAGGCGACGAUGCGUAGCCGACCUGAGAGGGUGAUCGGCCACACUGGGACUGAGACACGGCCCAGACUCCUACGGGAGGCAGCAGUAGGGAAUCUUCCGCAAUGGACGAAAGUCUGACGGAGCAACGCCGCGUGAGUGAUGAAGGUUUUCGGAUCGUAAAGCUCUGUUGUUAGGGAAGAACAAGUGCGAGAGUAACUGCUCGCACCUUGACGGUACCUAACCAGAAAGCCACGGCUAACUACGUGCCAGCAGCCGCGGUAAUACGUAGGUGGCAAGCGUUGUCCGGAAUUAUUGGGCGUAAAGGGCUCGCAGGCGGUUUCUUAAGUCUGAUGUGAAAGCCCCCGGCUCAACCGGGGAGGGUCAUUGGAAACUGGGAAACUUGAGUGCAGAAGAGGAGAGUG
RNAcentral lists this ribosomal RNA (596 nucleotides) under Bacillus safensis. Its description in RNAcentral is "bacterial SSU rRNA". It matches the Rfam family "Bacterial small subunit ribosomal RNA", at positions 81 to 663 of the family's 1533-position model. Lineage: Bacteria; Bacillati; Bacillota; Bacilli; Caryophanales; Bacillaceae. The record is from RNAcentral.